CCUACGGGCGGCAGCAGUGAGGAAUAUUGGUCAAUGGUCGGGAGACUGAACCAGCCAAGCCGCGUGAGGGAGGAAGGUACAGAGUAUCGUAAACCUCUUUUGUCAGGGAACAAAGACUGGGACGCGUCCCCGGAUGAGUGUACCUGAAGAAAAAGCAUCGGCUAACUCCGUGCCAGCAGCCGCGGUAAUACGGAGGAUGCGAGCGUUAUCCGGAUUUAUUGGGUUUAAAUGGUGCGCAGGCGGUCUGUUAAGUCAGCGGUAAAGCCCGGGGGCAAACCCCGGGCCGCGGUUGAAACUGGCAGUCUCGAGUUGGAGAGAAGUAUGCGGAAUGCGCGGUGUAGCGGUGAAAUGCAUAGAUAGCGCGCAGAACUCCGAUUGCGAAGGCAGCAUGCCGGCUCCACACUGACGCUGAGGCACGAAAGCGUGGGUAUCGAACAGGAUUAGAUACCCCAGUAGUC
This 458-nucleotide ribosomal RNA is filed under the name uncultured bacterium. RNAcentral describes it as "partial 16S ribosomal RNA". It matches the Rfam family "Bacterial small subunit ribosomal RNA", at positions 338 to 795 of the family's 1533-position model. The record is from RNAcentral.